GGUCAGGACGAACGCUGGCGGCGUGCUUAAAACAUGCAAGUCGAACGGGUGAGUUGUGGCACAAAGGCAUUUGAAAAGAUGUUUUGUGCUGACAAGUCGCUAGUGGCGGACGGGUGAGUAACGCGUGAGCAAUCUGCCUACGUACAGGGGGAUAACACAGAGAAAUUUGUGCUAAUACCGCAUAAGACCACAGGGAGGCAUCUUCUAGGGGUCAAAGGAGUAAUCCGGUAGUAGAGGGGCUUGCGUCUCAUUAGCUAGUUGGUGAGGUAACGGCCCACCAAGGCGACGAUGAGUAGCCGAUCUGAGAGGAUGAACGGCCACACUGGAACUGAGAAACGGUCCAGACUCCUACGGGAGGCAGCAGUUAGGAAUAUUGGGCAAUGGAGGAAACUCUGACCCAAGCAACGCCGCGUGAAGGAAGAAGGUUUUCGGAUUGUAAACUUCUGAUCUGUGGGAAAAAGCAAGUGAUGGUACCACAGGAGAAAGCCACGGCUAACUACGUGCCAGCAGCGGC
This 514-nucleotide ribosomal RNA is filed under the name uncultured bacterium. RNAcentral's name for it is "bacterial SSU rRNA". It matches the Rfam family "Bacterial small subunit ribosomal RNA", at positions 22 to 518 of the family's 1533-position model. The record is from RNAcentral.